AGCAACUCAGUCGUUGUAGUAUAGUGGUAAGU
This 32-nucleotide small RNA is filed under the name Arabidopsis thaliana (thale cress). RNAcentral describes it as "ATSL011920". The record is from RNAcentral. Lineage: Eukaryota; Viridiplantae; Streptophyta; Magnoliopsida; Brassicales; Brassicaceae.